Molecule: long non-coding RNA, 3427 nt
Filed under: Mytilus galloprovincialis (Mediterranean mussel)
Lineage: Eukaryota; Metazoa; Mollusca; Bivalvia; Mytilida; Mytilidae
Source: RNAcentral
CAGAUCAUUCUUAUGGUAUGCAAUUAGAAACACCAAAAAAGGUAUGUAUUGUGUUAAUUUUUAGGUCAUUUUGCCAAGAUGUAGUAUCUAAUUUUCAUCUUAUUAAAUGCAAGGAUUUCAUUUAUGAUUGUGUUGGUUCAAUUAUUCUCCUGGGAAUGAAUUUUCUUUGUGGUUUUGCCAAUUACUGCAUGACAAGCAUAUAGAAAAUUGUAAUUUUCAAAGAAUAUUGGAAUUUCUGUUUCCCCUGUACCCACUAAUCCCAAGAAAAUUGGUAUCCAACGAAUAAUAAUAAAGCCACAGCAUUUACCUUUGCUGAAAAAAAAACGAGUGCUCUUUGCUAAAUAUGACAUAGACCAAGGUGAGCAGCACAGACAGGCUCAUUAUAGUUCAGUAUGUUUUUUCUUUUUUCUUUUAAGGAGUUGGGUAUGGUAGAAUUGAAUUUUGGAACGUGUUACGUGGCAAUUAUAUAUCCAGGCAUGUCACCAGGAGUUGUUUCUAUUUGGUCAUCCUCUGUAUUUUGCUUCACCUGUCAGCAAAACACUGCAAGCACUGCAAACAUGUUCAGAUCUACCUAAACAAGUGUGAAGAAGAUGAAGUACCUGAUUAUAUUUAUAAGCUUUUGGAACUUCUUAAUGAUCAUCCCAGAAAGAAGACCUACAUUUAUGAAACCUUAUCAAAAAACUUGGUAGAAUUCCACCUCCCUGAACAUUUAAGGCAGCCAUAUCUUGAAGUAAACCAGCUGAAAGAAGAAAACAUUUUUCAAAUGUUUCCUGAUGAAAUUUCUAUUCCUAUUUGUGACAGAUGUCACAGUCCUUGGGAGAACACCUGCUUCAAACAAAAUAAAGAUGAAAUUCCAUUGUUUUGCAGAUAUGAGAUCCACAAGACCAAUGGUAAUAUAUUGUAUAAUGUAGGAUUUAAAUUUGAUCAACGAUGAAAUAUCAAUUUUAUACUUUAAAAAGAACAACAAUAAUACCCAGUACAUAUAAUCUAGCCUCAGAUUUCAUUUGAGAAUUGCAAUGUAUUAUAAUUUUUAUGACUGCCAAUGAUAUAAUUUUCCACCAGACACCAAAUAAAGGUUGUAGUUCAAUGACUAAUCAACAAUGAACAAAUCUAAGAAUCAUAACAAGCCACUUUAGGCUCUGCAUGACGUGACAGAUGAAAAUAAACUGAAAAUAGAAAAAUCAUAUGCGCCCAAAAUGAAAUAUUUGGAACUUUUGUAUAUUCACCCUUUUUAUUAAAAAUGUAUAAUAUGUUGCAAUGAUAUAAGAAUUUGAACCUGUCAUUAUCUAACUAUUUAUCUUUUUAUUUUGUUCUUGUAGUCUAUGGAAAGAAAUGUUCCAAAUGUGACAAUCAGCUCAUUUUUGAUGGCAGUGAAUCCUGCAUUUUGAACAUGGAAUCAUUUCUUGUACAUCAUAGUGUAUUGCGUGAUUACAUGCUUCAUUUCUUACAUGCAAGGUAUUUUUAAUGAGUUUUAAAUACCUAUGUUUAAAAUUAUGGCUAUAUGUAGAUUACUGUAUGGUUUUUGAUUCUUCAUAUAUAGUCUGUACAAGUGAAUCCUGAAAUAACUUGAUAAAAUCUUUUCUCAAUUGAAGUCAAAAUGCAUUGUCUUUGCACUGUUGUUUAUGAUAUUUAUUAAUUUUUUUUCAAAUUACCACAAGGUUUCUUUUUGUCAAUAUUUCAAUUUGAGUCCAUUUAAGAAAUUAUUCUCACUUUUUCAUAUUUUUUCAUGUUUUAUCUGAUAAAUGGACUAAGUUUAUUUACAGUUAAUAUCAAGUAGAUUCAUUGUUAGGUUCAAGUUUGUUACACAUUAUUUACUUAGUCAAAUCUUUAUACAAUUUUAUGAAACUUUUUUAAGAGUAAUGAGAGACAAAGUAAUAAACGAAGUUUAAAAUAUUUUACUAAUAAAUGAACUCACUUUACUUUACAAGACUCGAAAAAAACUUACAUUUUUUUUCAACUAUUGACACUAUUUGUACUGCCUACUGAUGAGUCCCAAGUACAAAUGGUUAUUUAUUCAUAUGGAUGUAAAGGGACGAAACUCAGAAGGCCUAAAGCGACUAUUAAUUGCAAUUGUUUGGUAAUAUCUGAUUAUAUAUAUAUAUAAAGGAUAUAAAAUUUUACUAAAUUUUAUUUGAAAUUUGUUCAAAUUUUCUUUUACAUUUUAACAACCAGGCCUUGAGAGUCUAGGCAGAAAAUAUGUUCAGGGAUUUAAUUAAGAUACUAGUACACUAAAAAGUAUUUGUACUGUACACAGAAAAGUUAUGUAUUGUUAUCAAUUUACCUUUGUUCUAAAAAAAAAAACAUAAGUUUUAAAAUCCCACCACAAAACCACUUUUCAAUUGAAACUUAUUAAACUGGACAUGAUUCUUGAAAGAAUGGUACUUUAAAUAUCUGAAAUCUUUUGUUAGAAAUUUUAUUAACAAUUAGAACUUUUCAUGCAUUUGAUUACUGGCAGACACUAACUGAUACAUAUUUGCCAGCCCUGCUGCUUAAAUAAAUUGACGACAGAAGGGUUUUUUUUUAUGGGGAAGGGGGGAGAGAAAAUGAGUUCAAGUGAAUUGAUUUAGAGGCUAGAAUACAUCUUGAUGGCAUGUAUUAGAGUGGUAUAAAAGUGAAUAGGGCUCAAUUUCUUAAUAAAUGCACUACAGUCUUCAAUUUUGUUAAUGUAACUAGUAAGCGAAGUAAGCUGUUAACAGGGUGUAUUUUAGUAAAAUAUUGUCCGUCGUCAACAUGUCGGAUAUUAACUCAAAAACACUUUAACCAAUUUGCAUAAAACUUUGAGAAGUACUUGAAACAAGGAGUUAUUUGAAUCUGGAAUGAUUUUGAAUUCUGGAAAAUUGAUUGGAAAUGUAUAAUGAAAAACUUAACCAACUAAAUAGGGUAAGCCAUGUAUGCAUGGCUAAGGUUAAUUUUACUUUCACUAUCAUUUCAGUAUGAACAAACUAAACCCUGUUUGCCAUGUGUGCAUGGCUAACCCUUUUUAGUUCGAUUAGUUUCCAUCAUACAUUUCUCCUCAAUUUUCCAGAAUUAAAAUUUAUUCCAAUACCAAAUAAUUCCUUGUUUUGAACUUUAUUCUUUGAAAUUGUGACAGGCAUAUUAUGCUCUCAUGGUGCAACUGUUUAUUUGUUUUAUUCCAUAGGUGUACCAUGUAUGCAUAUUACAAGGUAUGGUCUGACCAUAUGAAGCAAAUGGGAUAUAAAGAUUUUGAAAAGAUGAUGACUUACUGCAAGUUUAGGCAUUCCUGGUAUGCCUUUCUUAGUCUUUUAAAUAUUGACUAUAACCUUGGCUUCCAAUGCACAGAAUGUGGGGACACUCCUGAUACUAUAGUUUGUGAUGCUACAUCAUUGUCCUUCCGCAAAACAUUUGUGAAGUGGGAAUCUCAACCAAAUGACUGUACUAUUUUCAGUCCUUUAUGUCAAUCCACAGG